GUGAGGAAUAUUGGUCAAUGGACGGAAGUCUGAACCAGCCAAGUAGCGUGCAGGAUGACGGCCCUAUGGGUUGUAAACUGCUUUUAUGCGGGGGUAAAGUGAGUGACGUGUCAUUCAUUGCAAGUACCGCAAGAAUAAGGACCGGCUAAUUCCGUGCCAGCAGCCGCGGUAAUACGGAAGGUCCUGGUGUUAUCCGGAUUUAUUGGGUUUAAAGGGAGCGUAGGCCGUCAGGCAAGCGUGUUGUGAAAUGUCGUGGCUCAACCAUGGACUUGCAGCGCGAACUGCCCGACUUGAGUGCGCAGAAAGCAGGCGGAAUUUGUGGUGUAGCGGUGAAAUGCUUAGAUAUCACGAAGAACCCCGAUUGCGAAGGCAGCCUGCUGUAGCGCUACUGACGCUGAAGCUCGAAAGUGCGGGUAUCGAACAGGAUUAGAUACCCCAGUAGUCC
This 445-nucleotide ribosomal RNA is filed under the name uncultured bacterium. RNAcentral describes it as "partial 16S ribosomal RNA". It matches the Rfam family "Bacterial small subunit ribosomal RNA", at positions 354 to 796 of the family's 1533-position model. The record is from RNAcentral.